This 459-nucleotide ribosomal RNA is filed under the name uncultured bacterium. RNAcentral describes it as "partial 16S ribosomal RNA". It matches the Rfam family "Bacterial small subunit ribosomal RNA", at positions 338 to 795 of the family's 1533-position model. The record is from RNAcentral.
CCUACGGGUGGCAGCAGUGAGGAAUAUUGGUCAAUGGUCGGGAGACUGAACCAGCCAAGCCGCGUGAGGGAUGAAGGUCCAGAGUAUCAUAAACCUCUUUUGUCAGGGAACAAAACCGGGUACGUGUCCCCGCAUGCGUGUACCUUACGAAAAAGCAUCGGCUAACUCCGUGCCAGCAGCCGCGGUAAUACGGAGGAUGCGAGCGUUAUCCGGAUUUAUUGGGUUUAAAGGGUGCGCAGGCGGUCUGUUAAGUCAGCGGUCAAAGCCCGGGGCUCAACCCCGGACUGCCGUUGAAACUGGCAGUCUGGAGUUGGAGAGAAGUAUGCGGAAUGCGCGGUGUAGCGGUGAAAUGCAUAGAUAUCGCGCAGAACUCCGAUUGCGAAGGCAGCAUGCCGGAUCGAAACUGACGCUGAGGCACGAAAGCGUGGGUAUCGAACAGGAUUAGAUACCCGAGUAGUC